Molecule: regulatory RNA element, 101 nt
Organism: Clostridiales bacterium CHKCI001
Lineage: Bacteria; Bacillati; Bacillota; Clostridia; Eubacteriales
Rfam family: pemK RNA
Source: Rfam
AUAAUGGUACUUCCGUCCAGUCACAGUCCGAGCGGUACUCAAUCCGUUACAGGCAAUGAGGGCGGAUCUGGCAAACUGUCAGAGGGGUGGAACUCCCGUGG